Molecule: unclassified non-coding RNA, 269 nt
Filed under: Chytridiomycota sp.
Lineage: Eukaryota; Fungi; Chytridiomycota
Description: partial contains small subunit ribosomal RNA, internal transcribed spacer 1, and 5.8S ribosomal RNA
Rfam family: Eukaryotic small subunit ribosomal RNA (bases 1-47)
Source: RNAcentral
AAAGUCGUAACAAGGUAACCGUAGGUGAACCUGCGGUUGGAUCAUUAUUGAUUUAACUAGUUGUAUAGGUAAACAAGUUGAUGCUACCAUUUGGAUAGCUCCUUGAAUACUAUAUAACUUUUAACACUUUGUGCAAUAAUAUUGUUUUUUGGGCCUAAACUUUUUUUUGUUUGGCCCUAACUUUUUAAAAACACCCUUUUAAAUUAUGACUGAUUACCAAGAUUUUUAUAAAUCAAAUACAACUUUUGACAACGGAUCUCUUGGCUCUC